Molecule: ribosomal RNA, 393 nt
Filed under: uncultured soil bacterium
Lineage: Bacteria
Description: bacterial SSU rRNA
Rfam family: Bacterial small subunit ribosomal RNA
Source: RNAcentral
AGAACGAACGCUGGCGGCAUGCCUAAUACAUGCAAGUCGAACGAACUCUUCGGAGUUAGUGGCGCACGGGUGCGUAACGCGUGGGAAUCUGCCCCUUGGUUCGGAAUAACAGUUGGAAACGACUGCUAAUACCGGAUGAUGACGAAAGUCCAAAGAUUUAUCGCCAAGGGAUGAGCCCGCGUAGGAUUAGCUAGUUGGUGAGGUAAAGGCUCACCAAGGCAACGAUCCUUAGCUGGUCUGAGAGGAUGAUCAGCCACACUGGGACUGAGACACGGCCCAGACUCCGUACGGGAGGCAGCAGUAGGGAAUAUUGGACAAGUGGGCGAAAGCCUGAUCCAGCAAUGCCGCGUGGAGUGAUGAAGGUCCGUUAGGUUAGUAAGCUUCUUUACCGAG